GCGAAGCUAGCAUCAGAUGCUGAAUCAUACAUGAACAGGAAAUUCUAGAGAAUGCUUAUUUCCGCCCAAUUGAACGAGUUACAGUAUGAAACUAUGAAUCUUAACUAAUGUACUACCUCGUCCGCUGCUAUCCUCAACAUGGGAAUUCCACAGGUUAAGUAUGUGCAUACCAGUCUGGAAGUGGAGCUGUGGGAAUACAAUGUUGCAGGUGAAAGCAACUUGUGAACCCCUCCCCUUCAGAUCAAGAUACCAUUUUGGUUUCAGGGUCAAUAAUGGUGCAGUCCAAAACAUCUCAAGAAGAAAAUACUACUCUUUUCACUUUCC
This 324-nucleotide unclassified non-coding RNA is filed under the name Hevea brasiliensis (rubber tree). The record is from RNAcentral. Lineage: Eukaryota; Viridiplantae; Streptophyta; Magnoliopsida; Malpighiales; Euphorbiaceae.